GAGUCGGAGUCGGUUCAUUUUUUGCCGACUCCGACUCCAGGUACCCAAAAUUGCCUCCGACUCCACAGCCCUGAAAUAAACACAGUUAUUUAAACAGUUAAAAGUCACAGUUAUUGUAAAAAAAAAACAGUUUUCACAACUUUUUUUUUAUUUGUGAUUUUUCAGUUCAGACCUUUUGAUAAUGACUUCCAUUAGUGGAAACUAGUUUUUUUUUUUGUGGUUUCAAACAAGUUUUUUUUGUUGAUUUCCUGUGCCGUUACUAAAAUGUAUCAAAUGACUGAUAUUUAGAAAACAAAUUGUCAAGAAAUCACUUGAAAUAAAGUCAGGACCAUGUAGGAUUUUCUUAUUAUUAUUGUCUGUGUACUGCUAAUCAGUAUUCACUAUUCCAUUCUGUGACAUAACAAUUAACAGCAGGGUUAAAGCAGGGAGUUGGUGACAUCACACAAUAUGCAAAUGAGCAGAGGAGGAGUCAGGAGUCACAUGGAAUUGUGAGUCAUUUCCAGUAGGUUUUUGCCAUGGAAACAUUUAGAUUUCUAUUAUUUUUUAUUUUUUUGAUAAUAUUCUUACUCUAUUAAAGUGCAUAUCCGACUACAAGUAAAAUGUUGUUUUACAGAAUACUGUAUUUGUUAAAGCAUAGUAAUUUGCAAGUAAAUACACAUUAUUAAUGUUUCUAUUUAAUGUGAAUUACCAAUUUCAUCACCUGUAUUUAUAUUUUAUAAAUAACUCACUGCUAUUGGAGAUAUAUAGAUUUGGGUCAGACUAAAUUGACUAAUUAAAGUAUUAAUUAGUAAACACUGGAAGCAGCUGUGGGAUUUAUGAUUAAGGAAUAACAAAUUGUUCCCUCUCUUGCAGAAGCAACUCAAUAUAAUGACGACGAUGAUGCUUAUAUAGAUGAGGUUACAACUGGUAAGAUAUAAACUCAGUGAAGGUAUAUAAGUAAUUCAAUAUUUUAUUUUUCAUUGCAGUAGAAAAUGCAUUUGCUGAGAGUGAAACAGAAAAGAAUGUUACAUAUAGAGGCAUUGUGGCUGCUGAAACAAAAGGCACCAAAAAUCAGAUAAUCAGCACUGCAGGAUAGCUAAUUGGUUUGUUAGCAGCUGGAGGGUUAAUAUAUUAUUUUGUAAUAAAGCGAUAUUUCAAAAGAUGAAUUAAAUGAAGCAGAGGAAGGUGAGGCAGAACAGCUCAAAGAGAAUGAAGAAAAUGAUGAAUCUGAGGAGGAGGAUGAAACCCCAAAGAGAAAAAAAGUGAUAAAGAAGAAAGUAAAAAAGAAAAGAGCGGAUGAUGAAUCUGAGGAUGAGGAAGAAGCACAAAA
Molecule: long non-coding RNA, 1309 nt
Organism: Xenopus tropicalis (tropical clawed frog)
Lineage: Eukaryota; Metazoa; Chordata; Amphibia; Anura; Pipidae
Exons: 2
Source: RefSeq, a predicted model, not a curated record